GGACUACUCGGGUAUCUAAUCCCGUUUGCUCCCCUAGCUUUCGCACCUCAGCGUCAGUUGUGGACCAGAGAGCCGCCUUCGCCACCGGUGUUCCUCCUGAUAUCUACGCAUUUCACCGCUCCACCAGGAGUUCCGCUCUCCCCUACCACACUCUAGCAUCGCAGUAUGCCGGGCAGUUCCACGGGUGAGCCGUGGGAUUUCACCCGACACUUACAACGCCGCCUACGUGCGCUUCAAGCCCAGUAAUUCCGAACAACGUUUGCACUCUCUGUAUUACCGCGGCGGCUGGCAC
This 292-nucleotide ribosomal RNA is filed under the name uncultured bacterium. Its description in RNAcentral is "partial 16S ribosomal RNA". The record is from RNAcentral. RNAcentral also lists the same sequence under 1 other name.